GACGAACGCUGGCGGCGUGCUUAACACAUGCAAGUCGAACGGAAAGGCCCUGCUUGCAGGGUACUCGAGUGGCGAACGGGUGAGUAACACGUGGGUGAUCUGCCCUGCACUUCGGGAUAAGCCUGGGAAACUGGGUCUAAUACCGGAUAGGAGCCAUUUUUAGUGUGAUGGUUGGAAAGUUUUUUCGGUGUAGGAUGAGCUCGCGGCCUAUCAGCUUGUUGGUGGGGUAAUGGCCUACCAAGGCGGCGACGGGUAGCCGGCCUGAGAGGGUGGACGGCCACAUUGGGACUGAGAUACGGCCCAGACUCCUACGGGAGGCAGCAGUGGGGAAUAGUGCACAAUGGGCGCAAGCCUGAUGCAGCGACGCCGCGUGGGGGAGGACGGCCUUCGGGUUGGAAACUCCUUUCGCUAGGGACGAAGCUUUUUGUGACGGUACCUAGAGAAGAAGCACCGGCUAACUACGUG
Molecule: ribosomal RNA, 465 nt
Filed under: uncultured bacterium
Lineage: Bacteria
Description: partial 16S ribosomal RNA
Rfam family: Bacterial small subunit ribosomal RNA
Source: RNAcentral